AAAUUAAAAUUGAAUUUUCAAAUUAUUUAAUUUUGAAUUGUAAUGGAAAGUUUUAUUUAGUUUGUUCGACUAUCAGUAUUAUUUUGAAUGUACGAUAGUUGCGCGCUCUGAUCUUUAGUGAACAAUCGCAACGGAAUAGUGGCGGCUGUCGACAAAUGCCGAUAUCGAUAGUUCUAUUAAUUUUACUCGAAGUGCGAUCACUGCUGGUUGGACACGGAGUAGAAAAUUAAAUAAUUUUAUUGAUUUAUAAGUGCUGUGAGAUAUAUGUAUAUAUAUAUAUAUGUGAAAUAUUUUAUUGUGAGAUUAUGUGUCAAUUAUGGCGCUGCUCUGUUUGAACAUUCAUAUGGAUAUAUGUGCCUACGUAUGCGUACAUGCGGAUGCUUGUAUGUUCGUUUGGACAGAGGCAAGCGGAGACACAAUUAGCACAUAAACAAGUAAAAUAAGUAGAUAUAUAAAUAUAAUUGAAAAAUUGAAAAAUAAAUGGACGGAAGAAAAACAAAGAGCCAAAAAACUUAAGAUUGAUGAACUACUUACGGUUGAUUUUCUCAAUUGAUAUAAAUACUAAAUAGGAAAGUAGCAAAAUGGAAAUUCUAUAUUUGGUAAUGGUUUUAUCCCAGCAGCAUUUGGACCACAAAUGAAUAUUUUGCAGGCUGUACACCCGAAUGCAAGGUUUUUGCUUUGUAUAUUUGAUAAAUAAUAAUUAUAAUAAUAAUAAUAAAUUUACAAUUAUAAUAAAAUGUCAAAAAGUUUGAAAUAUUUUCUUUUUUUCAAAAUUCAUAUUAGACACAUAAUGAUAUUCUAUAUUUGUAAGCCUAUUUUAAGUGUUGUAAGUUAAUAUUUGCAACUAACCGCAUCAAAAUAAAAACCCUAAGUCAGACGAAAUCUUACAUAUCGAAACCCGUCAAUUAAUGGCAAUUUAAUAUUGUUGCAUCUAUCGGAUUAUAAAUGUAAAUGUAAACUUGUUAGUCAAAAGUAAAACGCAUAAAGUGCACAUUAUACACUCAUGAUGAAAAUAAUAACGCCAACAUAAUUUUGGAGAUUCUGUCAUAACUAAUACAUUAUUGGUAUUUAAAAAAAAAACUGGAUGGUAACCUUAAGAAAACAAUCUGGCAA
Molecule: long non-coding RNA, 1113 nt
Organism: Drosophila mojavensis
Lineage: Eukaryota; Metazoa; Arthropoda; Insecta; Diptera; Drosophilidae
Exons: 2
Source: RefSeq, a predicted model, not a curated record